CCUACGGGUGGCUGCAGUGGGGAAUAUUGGACAAUGGGCGAAAGCCUGAUCCAGCCAUGCCGCGUGUGUGAAGAAGGCCUUCGGGUUGUAAAGCACUUUCAGUGGGGAAGAAAGCCUUGGGCUAAUACCCUCGAGGAAGGACAUCACCCACAGAAGAAGCACCGGCUAACUCCGUGCCAGCAGCCGCGGUAAUACGGAGGGUGCGAGCGUUAAUCGGAAUUACUGGGCGUAAAGCGCGCGUAGGCGGUCUGAUAAGCCGGUUGUGAAAGCCCCGGGCUCAACCUGGGAACGGCAUCCGGAACUGUCAGGCUAGAGUGCAGGAGAGGAAGGUAGAAUUCCCGGUGUAGCGGUGAGAUGCGUAGAGAUCGGGAGGAAUACCAGUGGCGAAGGCGGCCUUCUGGACUGACACUGACGCUGAGGUGCGAAAGCGUGGGUAGCAAACAGGAUUAGAUACCCGAGUAGUC
This 464-nucleotide ribosomal RNA is filed under the name Vreelandella stevensii. RNAcentral describes it as "partial 16S ribosomal RNA". It matches the Rfam family "Bacterial small subunit ribosomal RNA", at positions 338 to 795 of the family's 1533-position model. The record is from RNAcentral. Lineage: Bacteria; Pseudomonadati; Pseudomonadota; Gammaproteobacteria; Oceanospirillales; Halomonadaceae.